GGAGGGUUUGCCUGACACUGACUUCGUAUCCCCUCCCUUCCUGUCCCUGAGACGAUGCCCAGUGUCUGUACUCCCCCCCCCCACACACACCCCGGGCUCCCCACCUGCUCCCAGAGGUUCUGGGACUAAACCAUUCUGUUCCCUCGCCCCCCCCCCCCCAAGCCCUUCUGGUUCAGCACCACGUUUCCCACCGGCUUCCCGCCCUCUGGUGUGCAAGGGGGCGGGGGGUGGGGGUCUUGAGUGAGUUUCACGUGGGGUCCCAGGUUCCUGGGCCCGGGGUGGCGGCUGGGGGUGCUCCCUGCUGAUAGAUGGCAGGGCUGGGAGCAGGCGUGAUGGGGUGGGAGGAGGGAAGAGGGAAAGCCAGUGAUGAUGGAGAACACUCAGGGGCUCUUUGCUUCAUAAAUACCUUUUUCUUUUUUUUCAGUGAAAACGUGUGCACAUUAGAAAAAUGGGUGAGGGUGGGUGGGGGGGUGGGCUUCCCGGGAGUAAAAUAAAGGUGGCUCCUCAGCCUGGGCUGCGGGCCUGGCGGGGGGGGGGGCUCCCGUGUCACCU
Molecule: long non-coding RNA, 552 nt
Organism: Pipistrellus kuhlii (Kuhl's pipistrelle)
Lineage: Eukaryota; Metazoa; Chordata; Mammalia; Chiroptera; Vespertilionidae
Exons: 3
Source: RefSeq, a predicted model, not a curated record